UAAUUGAUAUUUUUGUAGAUAGUGAAAAACUCCACAAAAAACGCAAAGCAGCCGUUGACAAAACAGGUAAGUAAUUAAUUAAUAAUUCAGUAGUACUGGAAAAAAGAAGAGAGGAACCGAUGAAUGCAUAAAAAAACCAGGAUGUGUUCUGCUGUACAAUAAAACAAAAAAAGGCAUUGACUUUUCUGACCAGAUGUCAUCUUAUUAUACAACGUUGAAGAGAGGAAUCAAAUGGUGGAGAAAAGUUGUAAUGGAGCUAAUAUUCGGUACAGUGCUAAUUAAUGCCUGGAUUGUGUUUAAUUCAAUCCAAACUGAUGAAAAAAAGUUACCGAAAAGACUCUUUGUGGAGAAACUUAUAGAAUCUUUUAUAAAAAAGGAAAUCGAUGAGAUCCCAGCACCUUAAAGCAGCGCACGUCAUUGCCUUGAAAAGGGUGAAAAAAGAAGAAGAUGUGUUGGUUGUUACCAGAAACUACGCACAUUUUUACCAUCUCGUGAAGCUGACAAAAAAUCCAAAAAGAUUUUGACUCAGUGCUCUCAGUGCAAAAAAUCUUAUUGUCUACCCUGUUUCAAUGAAAAACACUCAUAAAUAAGUACAAAAUAUAUAUUGAGAUUUUUUAUAAAAAAGUAUAUUGUUACUGAAUUUUUGUAUGUUAAUUCAAGUUCUAAUAAGUGUGUUUUUAAAGCCCGAGGCAGAAUAAAUAGGUUAGUUUCUUUUC
Molecule: long non-coding RNA, 716 nt
Organism: Bombyx mori (domestic silkworm)
Lineage: Eukaryota; Metazoa; Arthropoda; Insecta; Lepidoptera; Bombycidae
Exons: 2
Source: RefSeq, a predicted model, not a curated record